AGCAGCCGCGGUAAUUCCAGCUCCAAUAGCGUAUAUUAAAGUUGUUGCAGUUAAAAAGCUCGUAGUUGAAUUUCGGGGUCAGUAGGUUGGUCGUGCCACGGGUAUGUACUGGUCUCACUGAUUCCUCCUUCCUGAUGAACCGUAAUGCCAUUAAUUUGGUGUUGCGGGGAAACUGGACUGUUACUUUGAAAAAAUUAGAGUGUUUAAAGCAAGGCUAACGCUUGAAUACAUUAGCAUGGAAUAAUGAAAUAGGACGUUGAUCUUAUUUUGUUGGUUUCUAGGAUUGACGUAAUGAUUAAUAGGGAUAGUUGGGGGCAUUAGUAUUCAAUUGUCAGAGGUGAAAUUCUUGGAUUUAUUGAAGACUAACUACUGCGAAAGCAUUUGCCAAGGAUGCUUUCAUUAAUCAAGAACGAAAGUUAGGGGAUCGAAGACGAUCAGAUACCGUCGUAGUCUUAACCAUAAACCUAUGCCGACUAGGGAUCGGAUGAUGUUAAUUUUUUAAUGACUCAUUCGGCGCCUU
Molecule: ribosomal RNA, 520 nt
Filed under: uncultured Glomeromycotina
Lineage: Eukaryota; Fungi; Glomeromycota
Description: SSU rRNA
Rfam family: Eukaryotic small subunit ribosomal RNA
Source: RNAcentral